This 747-nucleotide ribosomal RNA is filed under the name uncultured organism. Its description in RNAcentral is "bacterial SSU rRNA". It matches the Rfam family "Bacterial small subunit ribosomal RNA", at positions 94 to 856 of the family's 1533-position model. The record is from RNAcentral.
AGCGGCACAAGGGUGAGUAACGCGUGAGCGAUCUGCCCCCGACUGCGGGAUAGCGCCGGGAAACCGGGAUUAAUACCGCAUGGUGAUGAUCAUUCGAUUGAUCAUCUAAAGGUUGACUCCGGUCGGGGAUGAGCUCGCGUCCCAUUAGCUUGUUGGUAGGGUAACGGCCUACCAAGGCCGAGACGGGUAGCUGGUCUGAGAGGACGGUCAGCCACACUGGGACUGAGACACUGCCCAGACUCCUAGGGGAGGCUGCAGUCGAGAAUCUUCCGCAAUGGGCGCAAGCCUGACGGAGCGAUGCCGCGUGAGGGAUGACGGCCUUCGGGUUGUAAACCUCUGUCAGGGGGGACGAAAACAAUGACGGUACCCCCAGAGGAAGCCACGGCUAACUACGUGCCAGCAGCCGCGGUAAUACGUAGGUGGCGAGCGUUAUUCGGAAUUACUGGGCGUAAAGGGUCCGCAGGGGGUCUGUCAAGUCCGGCGUGAAAGCCCGAGGCUCAACUUCGGGUCGGCGUUGGAUACUGACGGACUUGAGUGCACGAUGGGAGAGCAGAAUUCCUGGUGUAGCGGUGGAAUGCGUAGAUAUCAGGAAGAAUACCGGCGGCGAGGCGGCUCUCUGGCGUGCUACUGACCCUCAGGGACGAAAGUGUGGGUAGCGAACAGGAUUAGAUACCCUGGUAGUCCACACCGUAAACGUUGUGUACUAGAUGCGGGCGGCGCUCCGGUGUAGUCCGUGUCCAAGUUAAC